Molecule: ribosomal RNA, 285 nt
Filed under: uncultured prokaryote
Description: partial 16S ribosomal RNA
Rfam family: Bacterial small subunit ribosomal RNA
Source: RNAcentral
UACGUAGGGUCCAAGCGUUGUCCGGAGUUACUGGGCGUAAAGCGCGCGCAGGCGGUUCGAUAAGACUGGCGUGAAAGCCCCCGGCUCAACCGGGGAGGGUCGUUGGUGACUGUCGGACUUGAAGACAGCAGGGGCAGGUGGAAUUCCCGGUGUAGUGGUGACAUGCGUAGAGAUCGGGAGGAACACCCGUGGCGAAGGCGGCCUGCUGGGCUGGUCUUGACGCUGAGGUCGCGAAGGCGUGGGGAGCGAACGGGAUUAGAUACCCCCGUAGUCCCUGAGCGGGCU